UACGUAGGGCGCAAGCGUUGUCCGGAAUUAUUGGGCGUAAAGAGCGUGUAGGCGGUUCGGUAAGUCUGUCGUGAAAUCCUGAGGCUCAACCUCGGGCGUGCGAUGGAUACUGCCGGGCUAGAGGGUGGUAGAGGCGAGUGGAAUUCCCGGUGUAGCGGUGAAAUGCGCAGAUAUCGGGAGGAACACCAGUAGCGAAGGCGGCUCGCUGGGCCACACCUGACGCUGAGACGCGAAAGCUAGGGGAGCGAACAGG
Molecule: ribosomal RNA, 253 nt
Filed under: uncultured bacterium
Lineage: Bacteria
Description: partial 16S ribosomal RNA
Rfam family: Bacterial small subunit ribosomal RNA
Source: RNAcentral